RNAcentral lists this unclassified non-coding RNA (440 nucleotides) under Hevea brasiliensis (rubber tree). The record is from RNAcentral. Lineage: Eukaryota; Viridiplantae; Streptophyta; Magnoliopsida; Malpighiales; Euphorbiaceae.
AUCAACCCUUGGCAUUGCUCUUAUCUUGUUCAUUGGAUGCUCAAAGCUCAUCAAUCCGCCUUCACUGUGGAACAUAAAUCCCGCUGGGAAGGGAGCAAAUGAUUUUGCACAGCCUGCUUUUAUGACUUCCACAUCAUCGGAUAUAACCACAGAACCAUCAGCUGCGAUACCCCAGUACAGCUUCACCCCACCAUCAGAACCCAGUGCUACAAAGACAGUACCAGCCUUGCUAUCAUAGAUAACAAAAGCAAAGCUUCCAUCAAGAUCCUUGACAACUUGAUCAGCAGGGUAUGGACCCCUAUCACGAAGUGUCCGAUAAGCUUCGAUCACAAACAUGGCCUCAUUAGUCCCCUUUGUCAAACCAUAUUGCCUAUUCAGUACACACAAGUUGUCCAAGCUCCCCAAGAACAGGCAGUAUAUAUCCUCAAACCCACAAAAAA